RNAcentral lists this ribosomal RNA (353 nucleotides) under uncultured bacterium. Its description in RNAcentral is "bacterial SSU rRNA". It matches the Rfam family "Bacterial small subunit ribosomal RNA", at positions 8 to 349 of the family's 1533-position model. The record is from RNAcentral.
AGAGUUUGAUCAUGGCUCAGGAUGAACGCUAGCUACAGGCUUAACACAUGCAAGUCGAGGGGAAACGGACAUCGAAAGCUUGCUUUUGAUGGGCGGUCGACCGGCGCACGGGUGAGUAACGCGUAUCCAACCUGCCCAUCACUUGGGGAUAACCUUGCGAAAGUAAGACUAAUACCCAAUGACGUCUCUAGAAGACAUCUGAAAGAGAUUAAAGAUUUAUCGGUGAUGGAUGGGGAUGCGUCUGAUUAGCUUGUUGGCGGGGUAACGGCCCACAAGGCGACGAUCAGUAGGGGUUCUGAGAGGAAGGUCCCCCANAUUGGAACUGAGACACGGUCCAAACUCCUACGGGAGCA